This 611-nucleotide long non-coding RNA is filed under the name Vigna radiata. RNAcentral describes it as "long non-coding RNA (VRAD_LNC000327)". Lineage: Eukaryota; Viridiplantae; Streptophyta; Magnoliopsida; Fabales; Fabaceae. The record is from RNAcentral.
AAAAGGUCAGUUGAAAAGUUAACUUGGACGUCGAAUUAGUAACAGAACUGACAUCUAUAGUCAUUUAGACGUCGGCUAUCUGGAGAAACCGACGCCCAGUUUCAUUUUAAAUACACCGCACACUCUUCGCGGCAUUCAGUUUCUGAUAUCUUCCUCUUCCUCUUCUCCUUUUUCUCUCGCGGCACUCUUCUUUUUCUCUCUUUCGGCAUGUCUUCUUUUUGUUACGGCAUUCUAUAGUUGUUUCUGAUAUCUUUAUCGUUUUCGUCCUCUCUUUUUCUCUCUUGCGACAUUGCAUCCCAGGUGCGUGGUUUUUUUUUUAUGCUUACCGUUUGUUUAGUCUUUCAUCGAUUAUCUUCUGGUUCAACUGAUUAAAAUUUGCUUUCUUUGUGUUGUGUUUUAGUGCAAUUUUGUUCCUUUCUUGGGAUAACGUAGUAACACAUUCUCCCUUUGCUAGCUGCCUCCCGGAAAUAGCGGCGUCUUUUGAAUUUCUCUUGAUUGUUUCAACCCAAAAACAACCCUAGGUCGUUGUCUAGUUUUCGUUUCACCGUGAUUUUUUCCUCUUGCGGAUGAAAAAUGGAACUAAGCAACCACCCAGGUUCGGUUUUGGGUUG